RNAcentral lists this transfer RNA (75 nucleotides) under Nanobdellota archaeon. RNAcentral describes it as "tRNA-Arg". It matches the Rfam family "tRNA". Rfam says of the family: Transfer RNA (tRNA) molecules are approximately 80 nucleotides in length. Their secondary structure includes four short double-helical elements and three loops (D, anti-codon, and T loops). Lineage: Archaea; Nanobdellati; Nanobdellota. The record is from RNAcentral.
GGACCUGUAGCCUAGCCUGGAUAGGGCGCCAGCCUUCUAAGCUGGAUACCGGGGGUUCAAAUCCCCUCAGGUCCG